AUUGAACGCUGGCGGCAGGCUUAACACAUGCAAGUCGAGCGGGGUGAUGGUGCUUGCACUAUCACUUAGCGGCGGACGGGUGAGUAAUGCUUAGGAAUCUGCCUAUUAGUGGGGGACAACAUCUCGAAAGGGAUGCUAAUACCGCAUACGUCCUACGGGGGAAAGCAGGGGAUCACUUGUGACCUUGCGCUAAUAGAUGAGCCUAAGUCGGAGUAGCUAGUUGGUGGGGUAAAGGCCUACCAAGGCGACGAUCUGUAGCGGGUCGGAGAGGAUGAUCCGCCACACUGGGACUGAGACACGGCCCAGACUCCUACGGGAGGCAGCAGUGGGGAAUAUUGGAACAUGGGGGGAACCCUGAGCCAGCCAUGCCGCGUGUGUGAAGAAGGCCUUAUGGUUGUAAAGCACUUUAAGCGAGGAGGAGGCUCUUUUGGUUAAUACCCAGAAUGAGUGGACGUUACUCGCAGAAUAAGCACCGGCUAACUCUGUGCCAGCCGCCGCCGUAA
RNAcentral lists this ribosomal RNA (503 nucleotides) under uncultured bacterium. Its description in RNAcentral is "partial 16S ribosomal RNA". It matches the Rfam family "Bacterial small subunit ribosomal RNA", at positions 30 to 523 of the family's 1533-position model. The record is from RNAcentral.